CCUUCUACCUAUUUGCUGGCAGGAAACAGGGUCUGGAAUUCGGGGGCAUUUAGAGCUUUUUAUUAACUUCCUGGGUUCUGGGAGGGUUGGGUUGCAUUUUCAUCCUUUCACUUCCACCCAAGAGAUAAAGGCGGGUCCGGGGCCUGAAAAUCCUCCGAAAAGGAAAUACUGGGCUGGGCCGAACACCAAAAAGACAGCUGAGGCCCCUUGCUCAGUGCUCCACACUUCCAACCCCACCACCUCUGGGCGCAUCAGUCCCUGCUUCCCACAUAUUAGAGUCCUGGCCAGGCUGCUGGGCCUCACCUAGCGCGCCCAGGUGGCUGUAGGUUUCCUAUGUCACGUGCAGGUUCAGGACCCUCCGUGCGGGCCGCAGACACCCCCACUCCUCCCGGGAGAAGUACACGGCCACGUCCACGAUCCUCACAGCCCCUGGGAGGCUUUCCCUCGAAGCCCGGAACCGGCCUUCCCUGGCACCUCAGCCACAGAGAACAAGAGCCGGGGGCGGAGCCAUGGGCAAACCCUUUGGUGCUUCGCAGAGGCUUCCGGGAAAUGUGGAAAUGUUCUGCCGUUUCCGCCCUUCCUCAGGAAAAGUUCUUCAAGCCCCACAGCCCUGCCCUUAACCAAGAUGGCGUCCCUCCGACCUCAGCAUCCCUUACGUUUCCUAUUUGCCCUGAAGUACCAAGGGGCAAACCGGAAAGGAGGUUGGACUCCAGGGAGUAACCCGCCGAUAGAUGACGUGUGUUGAUUGGACAGUACCGGUCAACAGGAGAAGAAUGAAGGCUGUGAUUGGCCUUUCCGAGGCGGCCGGUUUGAAAGACCGAGAGGAAAGGAUCCACAGGUCCGAAGGUGGCCAGCGGUGAAGGGGCGGCGGGCUCUCUCCUUAUCUGGCUUUUCUGGGACAAGAAUCUAGAGAGAGAGAGAUUCUGACGAGUAAGUUCUGGAUCAAGACGGUGGAGCAGGAAGAUGUUGAGUUCAUCUCCCAGGACCCUGCAAAACAACAGCUGCUUAUAGAACAGCUAUCCCUGAGAGCUGACCAGAAGACUACUAUCAGGACAGGUUUUUCUACAACUAAGGAUAUAAGGAAAAGGCCACCUUGAGAAGCCCCCCACAGAUGCUGUACUGGAACGUGGCCACCAACAGCUCCCAUGUUUUAUGAGUUACAAAAUGCAGGCCAAAGAAAUGUCUCGGAUUCCUAGGAAACUCCUGCCCGAACUUGGGUGAAAGGCACCGGAAGAUGCCUUCGGGGAAAAUGGCGGCGCCGCUACUGCACCGCCUUUGCCUGAAACACAGGCAGCUUCCAGCUAUCGAUUUUAUUGACCGGAGCGCCAUGCCGGCUUCCUAACCUCUUUGCCCUCAAGUGUGAUGGCGCUGCGAUUGGGCUUCACGCCCUUUUUCCCCCAUUCCACGAGCUCAUUGGGCGGCGACCGAAGAUCGAGCAUUCUGAUUGGGUGAUGCCAAAAGCGGCCUGUUUAAAUGAAGCCAACGGAAACGUAAGGGCAGGGAGUUGGACUCGGCGUUAGGCGACUGCCGUGAGUCUGGAGGCGCCAAGGGCGACCCCACUUGGGAUCUGUAAAGAUCCCCCGAUAAGCCGAGGUAGGGAAGGAUUUGUGCGACGGAGCCACUCUGGCCAACCCGGGUCUGAGAUUUCCCUGGUUUGCCUUAUAGUGGCUUUCUCAGAGAAGCCUUCGAGGCAGAUAGCGUGUAACUACCUUGUGGCCUUUUAGGGAGGAGAAUUGGGCUCAAGUACCACGCCCAGCACAUCACACAUUUCGUCUUAUUUAUUUUUUGUUACCAUUGUGUGAAGGGAUGAUUAUCAACCUAGUUCUACUAACUAAGAAAAUCUCAGAGGGGUCCUGCUAGUAAGGAAAGCGAGCAAAGAUUUUGUCCAUUGAAAAAAAACGCAGGACCUAAAAAUUGCACGUUGGGGACUUUGCUGAGCACUGCAACCUCCCAGAUAGCUCCGAGGAACUGCUCCAGAGAGGCAGGAGCCAGGAUAUAUAGCAGUUUUUCCUGAAAAAAAUAGAAGUUUUAUUCUUUAUAAAACUUCACACACACACACACACACACAGCCACGCGACAUUUAGCCAUCGAUUUUGUUGAGGCCUGGUUAUACAUUGGCUAAUGCAAGAGGCAUUAAUCUUAUAAAACACAAUACACAAGAUAUAAGUAAUAUAGAUAAUAACAUUAAUAUGUUCAUAGGAGUUCCUGCUAUGGCACAGUGGGUUAAGAAUCUCACUGCAGGAGUUCCCAUCAUGGCUCAGUGGUUAACGAAUCUGACUGGGAACCCUGAGGUUGUGAGUUCGAUCCCUGGCCUUGCUCAGUGGGUUAGGGAUCCGGCAUUUCCAUGAGCUGUGGUGUAGGUUGCAGACACGGCUCGGAUCCCCGCGUUGCUGUUGCUGGAUUGGACCCCUAGCCUGGAACCUCCAUAUGCCGCAGGAGCGGCCCAAGAAAUGGGAAAAAAAAAGACCAAAAAAAAAAGAAUCAUCACACUGCAGCUGCUCAAGUUGCUGCCCAGGUAUGGGUUCAAUCCCCAGUCAGAUGCAGUGAAUCCUGUGUGCGGCAUAGGUCUCAGAUGCAGCUUGGAUUCAACUGCCAACCUGGAAACUUCCAUAUAACGCAGUUUUGUCUGUUUAAAAAAAAAAAAAGAAGCGUUCUCGUGGCUCAGCAGUGAUGAACCUGACUAGUAUCCAUGAGGACUUGGGUUCGAUCCCUGGCCUUGGUCAGUGGCUUAAGGAUCUGGCGUUGCCAUGAGCUGCAUUGUAGGUCACAGAUGUACUCGAUCCCAUGUUACUGGGGCUGUGGUGUAGGCCUGCAGCUGUAGCUCCAAUUCGACCCCUAGCCUGGGAAUCUCCAUAUGCCGCACCUGCAGCUGUAAAAAGAAAAAAACAAAACCCAAAGCAACCUGCAGUAAGCCUUCAUUGAGUUCUACUCUGUCCAAGGAUGGUGACUGUUACCUGAACAAAUUACUGGGGAAGCACGUGGAAUUCCAUGAUUGUCCCCCAAAAGGCAGAGUCCCUCCUCCUAAUAGCUUUCCAGAUCGCUAACUCAGUGGGACCAAUGACUUUGGUCUAUGAACAGGUAGGAUGUAAGGAGAGCAGUGCUGUUCGAUAUACAUUUGUUGACUAAACACCUGAAUUCCAUGGCUGUGAAAUCUCGGGCACAAGGCAGAACUUCAGGAAAGUUCUAAUGUAGUACAGGAUACACUUAGGGUAACACUGGAGGACUGGAAGGGGAGGUUGGUGCAGGGCUUCAUCCUGUACAUCGGGGAGCUCUAGAUCAGUCUAGAGAAACAAAUGACCUUUCAUUGAUGUUUUAGUAAGACUGCGCCGGGAGUCUGCAAGAUGAACUGAUAGCUUUGUGCCUACUCUCUCUGCACACACAUACUUCUGCUUGGAGAAAUAAGAAUGUAAACUUAGGCUGCAAAAGGAAUAAAAAGGCAAAUGAAUAGCAAAAAUUUCUUUUUGUUUGUUUGGGGUUUUUUUGUUUGUUUUGUCUUAUUGGGGUUUUUUUUGUUGUGCCCACAGCAUAUGGAAGUUCCUAGGCCAGGGAUCGAACCUGUGCCACAGCAGCAACCCAAGCCACUGCAGUGACAACAUUGGAUCCUUAACUCACUGUACCACAAGGGAACUCCUGUGAAUCCAUUUCAUUUUGAAGGAAGAAAUGGACUAAAUAGAGGAGGCUAGAAAGGACCUAAUCUUCGUGGACAUUUUGCCCAAUUGGUAAUGAUGCGCUGCCAACUGAACACGGAGAAGAUGCUAACGUGGAAAAGGAAAGGAGAUGAUUAAAGCCUGAGCCGAGGAGUUCCUGAUGUGGCGUGGCAGAAACAAAGCCAACUAGGAAUCAUGAGGUUGCAGAUUCGAUUGCUUGGUCUCGCUCAGGGCGCUAGGCCCCCUUCCAACAUCCAGGAAGUGGGAAUGCAGGCUGGACAGAAUACUAAUUGGGUUUGUUGUUUUUUUUUUGUUUUUUGUUUUUUUUUUUUUUGGUCUUUUUAGGGCUGCACCAGCGGCAUAUGGAGGUUUCCAGUCUAGGGGCUGAAUCAGAUCUACAGCUGCUGGCCUCACCACAGCUUCAGCAACAUGGGAUCCGAGCUGUGUCUGUGAACUGCCGGAAGCAUCGGCCACAAUCUGGAUGUGCAUAGGGCUUGUCCCCGUGUGGAGCAGCUGGUGCUGGACCAGGUGAGCCCUCUGGGAGAACCGAACUCCGUAAGGCGCACAGACAUAAAGAUGGUCUCCGGGAUGGAUUCACUGGAUAUCUGACCAGCAUCGAGUGGGAAGCAAAGAGCCUUCCACAGUCUGGGCAGCGGAAAGGCUUCUCUCCAGUGUGCCCACGUGGAUAUGGACAGCCAGGGUGCCUCUUUGGCAGAAGCAACGUCCACACUGGUCUCAGGGGCAGGGCCGCUCCCCAGAGUGGACCCCCUGGUAGCUGACUAGGAAGGAGGGGUGGCUGAAAGAUCGGCUACAUUCCAGGCAGGGCUAGGGCCUCUUGGCAGUCUUAGCACGUUGGUGUCUGGUGUUGGCUGGGGACCUGAGGCAAAGAAUGGUCACAGUCCAUUAAGCCAGGGAGCAGCCUGGCCUUCAGUGGGGGGCCCGUUCCUCACAGGAGCAUCCUCAGGCUCCCUAGGCCGCUUCCUUCUUCUUUGUCUUGCUUCUAAAGAGACGAGAGAAUUGAAACUGAAGACUCAAGGGCUUGCAUCACCACACCUGUUUUCUCUCCAAAUGGGGAGGAGUGUGUGAAGGGGACAGCAGGUCCUGUUCAUCUGGCAGAGUCCCUUAUUUCUGAACCCCCAGUCUCAGCUGCCAUCAGCGGGUCCUCAUUCCAUGGGCAGAUGCCAUGCUUUUCCCCAUUCAGGGCUUGGAAAAUUGUGGUUUUGUCAGGAGGUGAGGGAUAGUUCUGCUUGUCAGAAAUAAGCCAUCACCAGCCAUGUUAAAGCCUUUAAGGAGUUCCUGCUGUGGCAUAAUGGGAUGGUUGCACUGGGAUGCAGGUUUGACUCCAACCCAGCACAGUGGAUUAAGGGUAGAGUAUUGCAGCUGUGGUUUGGAUCUGACCCCUGACUGGGGAACUGCAAAUGCCGUGGGCGGGGAGGCAAAAAAGAAAGCCCUUAAAGGUAGGCAUUUGUGACUCAGCGGUAAUGAACCGGACAAGUAUCCAUGAGGACGUGGGUUUGAUCCCUGGCCUCAGUCAGUGGGUUAAGGAUCCAGCGUUGCCAUAAGCUGUGGGGUAGGUCUUAGACGCGGGUCGGAUCUGGUAGGUUGCUGUGGCUGCGAGCUUCCAUAUGCCACAGGUUCAGCCCUAAAAAAACAAACAAAGGAAACAUCAGUCACCACCUGAGCAAACAGUCCUGGCUGCACAGCGAACUUCUAGCCCUUUUUAGAGGCGUGCAGACCCUCUGGGCACACAGCGAAGGGAGGCACAUACGUUCUAUGCCCAGCUUCUCCCCCAUCUCACUAUCCUUGAUCCAAGGAAGGCACCAGGUCUGACAAAGGGAACUUUGGAAGAGAAGGUUCAGAGGAUUCUUACCAACUGGGGCCUGCAAGAGAGGCUGCGUGUGUGGAGCGGCUGCUGGACUCACUCCCGAGACAGGCUGACUUCCAGCUCAGCUCCGCUUUCCUCGCCUAUCCCAGAACCUGGGUGCCUCGCCCCUUCUUGGGAUCUUCAGCCUCCGGUCUCCACACUUCCUUCCUUCCCUCCAUCCAGGAGAUGAGGGCAGGUUUGAGGCCUGCAAAUCCUAAGGGAGAAGAGGCCAGCAAGCCAAGGCGGAGACACGGAGCCUAAAGAAGGUCUUCCUCUGCAAAGGUGGGAUGCAACCUCCUGAUCCCUCAGAGAGAAGACCCUCCCCAACAGCAGAUAUUCUCCCAGGCGCGUCAGGACUCAAACCUAAGGGUCUUCAGAUGACAAAAAGUUUGAGUGCGAGGGCCGGGCCUUGCCGAGCGCACCCAGGUGGCGAUAGAUCUCCCGCAUCACGUCCCGGUCCAGGGCCCUCUGCGCAGGCCGCAGACAGCCCCACUCCUCCUGGAAGAAGUACGCGGCCACGUCUGCGAACUUCACUGCACCUGGUCUCCCUUGCCCAGGCCAAGCCUCCCCCAUGCCCGCCGGUGGGGAGCGGGACGGGGUGGGGGGGCGCCAUAGCACCAUCGCUUUCCCCAGGGUUCGCCGGGGUGGCGGCGGGGGGUGGGGUGGUCAGGUAUUGGACGCAGCGGAGCCGAAGCUGGCCGAUCUUCGGACCCAGAGCGCCGCCAAGGAGGCCUGAAUGGCACAAGGAUGAGUCUCUUUGGGUCCCAGUUAUUCCUACGGGUCCUGCAAGCACCCGGGUUAGAGCCCAGGAAGAUGCCUUCCGGCGCCGCGGAGGCGCGGUUGACGCGAUCCACCACUAGGCGGCGCCUGGCCCGAAAUUCUUCGCCCUCAGGGGUCCUGGCGCUGCUGAGCUUCACGCCCGUCUUCCUUUUGCGCUCGAUUAUUGGCUGGCGCGCGGCUGACCGCAAAGAGCCAGCGUCCUAAUUGGGUUUCAGCGAAUCGUUCCCGUUAGAAGGAAGCCGGCGAUAGCGAAAAGGGCAGGCCCUCUUCCCGGAGUUCCAGAGCUCCCCCCGCCCGCCCCACUGUUGAGCACCUGCCCGGCGCCUGGCGUUGUGCUGUGUGGUGGUGCCAAGGGACAGCAAGGCAGCUCUGCUGCCCAAGAGCUCACAGCAACGGCCUUCUCCCGGCCCCGCGCUCGGCCCCACUGUCACCAGAACCCCUUCUGCAUUGCUCUGGGGCUCCCUGCCUCCUUUACACCCAGACUUGGACGACGAUUAAAUAUUUAUUAAGCCUAUUGGUUUGAGCACAGUUAUAGGCCCUAAGUAGAGAGCAAGGAGCUCAGUGUUCUCAGCCGCGGAGGUCACAUUCUUCUCCACAGCUUUACAGAUGCUCAUAUCUCUACUGGACUUGACUCAAAGUUUAGUCUUGAGGGAACUCCCUGGCACUCUAGUGGCUAGAGUUUGGUGCUCUCAAAGUCCAAUCCCUGGUGAGGGAACUGAGAUUUUGCUUCAAGCUGCCGCAGGCCGGGGGGCCACCCUACAGCCACUGGAGCUCAGUACAGGAGGUUGAUGGUGGGGGAGGAUGUAGGAGAGGGCAGAGGAAUUUGGGGAUUCUCUGUUCAUCCAGCUCAUUUCUACUGUGAACCCUAAACUACACCCAGAGGAUUAAAAUAAAAUCUAUUAAGUCUUAAAAUUUUUAAAAAUAAUGAUUCGUGCUACAACAUGAAUGAACUUUUAAAAUAUACCAUGUGAGAGAAGCUGGAUAUAAAAAACCACAUGUCUUAUAAUUCUGUUUAUAUAUGUAUAUGAAAAGUCCAGAAAAAGCAUAUCUAUAGAGACAGAAAGCAGAUUAGUAGUUGUCAAGGGCUGGAGGAGGGGAGACGGGGGAGGGAUGGUAGGAGUUUCUUUCUGGGAUGAUGAAAAUGUGCUAAGUUGAUUUUGGUGAUGGUUUCAAACUCUGAACAUAUUAAAAAAGAUUGAAUUGUACACUUUAAAUGGGGCAAAUUAUAUGAUAAUGUGAAUAAUAUCUUAAGGGCCAAAACUGCACAUAUGGGAGUUCCCAGGCUAGGGGUCAAAUCAGAGCUGUAGCCGCUGGUUUACGCCACAGCCAUAGCAACUCGGAAUCCAAGCCUCAUCUGCAACCUACACCAGAGCUCAUGGCAACACCAGAUCUUGACCCACUGAGUGAGGCUAGGGAUUGAACCUGUACCCUCAUGGAUACUAGUCAGGUUGGUAACCUGCUGAGCCACAAUAUUAUUCCUAUGAAUAACAUCUUAAUAGAAUCUUUUAAAAAAUACGUCGUAGGAGUUCCCGUCGUGGCGCAGUGGUUAACGAAUCUGACUAGGAACCAUGAGGUUUCGGGUUCGGUCCCUGCCCUUGCUCAGUGGGUUAACGAUCUGGCGUUGCCGUGAGCUGUGGUGUAGGUUGCAGACGUGGCUCGGAUCCCGCGUUGCUGUGGCUCUGGCGCAGGCCGGUGGCUACAGCUCCGAUUCAACCCCUGGCCUGGGAACCUCCAUAUGCCGCGGGAGCGGCCCAAAAGAAAUAGCAACAACAACAACAAAAAAAAAAAA
Molecule: non-coding RNA, 8080 nt
Organism: Sus scrofa (pig)
Lineage: Eukaryota; Metazoa; Chordata; Mammalia; Artiodactyla; Suidae
Source: RefSeq, a predicted model, not a curated record